GGAUGUGAGGGCCAUCUGGCUGCGACAUCUGUCACCCCAUUGAUCGCCAGGGUUGAUUUGGCUGAGCUGGCUGGCUAGGCGGGUGUCCCCUUCCUGCUCUCUCUCCAGGUCC
This 112-nucleotide small nuclear RNA is filed under the name Erinaceus europaeus (western European hedgehog). Its description in RNAcentral is "7SK RNA". It matches the Rfam family "7SK RNA", at positions 1 to 108 of the family's 331-position model. Rfam says of the family: 7SK was discovered as an abundant small nuclear RNA in the mid-70s but a possible function has only recently been suggested. Two independent studies have found that 7SK RNA binds the CDK9/cyclin T complex (known as elongation factor P-TEFb). The record is from Rfam by way of RNAcentral. Lineage: Eukaryota; Metazoa; Chordata; Mammalia; Eulipotyphla; Erinaceidae.